Amphiprion ocellaris (clown anemonefish) is the source of this 910-nucleotide long non-coding RNA. The record is from Ensembl. Lineage: Eukaryota; Metazoa; Chordata; Actinopteri; Pomacentridae.
CGACGAGAGACAGCUGAGAACGGCAGCUAGUUCUGGAGUUAAAAUCAGGGUUUCUCAGUGUUAUUUUGGCGUUGGCUACGGCCCACAGUAGCCUGUGUUAACGUUUAAUAAACGUUCAGAAAACGAGAUCAGGUCUCGCUCGUCUAUCGCAGCGGGUCGCUACAAUAUGGAGCUUAAAUAGGCUCCACAGCAGACAGAUUUGAUGACCUGCAGUCAGACGUCAGCUUUAGUUCGUGACGAUCAGCACCAGAUCUUGACCCACAAACACCAAUUAGCAGAAAACGAGGUCAACAUUUGCAUCUCCAUCGACACCAACAGCCAAAACAAAUGACGGUGACAGGGAUGUCAGGAAUGUUCCUGUGGCUCAUCUGGGUGAGGACACGCAGCCCGUGUCCACUGCAACACGCAUGCGCCACCCGGCUCUGAUCCUCAUUUGGAAACCGGCAGCGUGAGGAGCAGCUUCCAGGUUCUCCCACUGUCAGGAAUGCCGUGGUUCUCUUAGGAGAAGUUCUCUCUGCUGGGAAUCCCGGACCAACGGACCUCUGAGAGAGCUGCAGCAGAUGGGCCGGAUUGGACCCUCUGGAGGACCGCUUUUGGCCCACGGGCCUCAUGUUGGACACCCCUGGUUUAGAGUAUCACCUCUGAUGUUUUUUUUCUGCCCUCGACUCGACAAUCCCACAACUUCUUAUCUCUCUGCACGGCUGUUCUACCUCCACCUCACUGACACACAACAACGCACACUAACACACACUGUUACACACCGACACACACUCCAGCCUCUCCUCUGUGGUCUACAAACCUCCUCCUGCUCUGUGCUUCUCUGAUACGUGAACUUUGUGGUUUUUUUGUUGCUCCAGUUUCAGUUUUUUGUGUGUCGCUCUCGUGUUGUUUGUGAAUAAACAGAUUUCAG